Molecule: unclassified non-coding RNA, 549 nt
Filed under: Neonectria quercicola
Lineage: Eukaryota; Fungi; Ascomycota; Sordariomycetes; Hypocreales; Nectriaceae
Description: sequence contains 18S rRNA gene, ITS1, 5.8S rRNA gene, ITS2, 28S rRNA gene
Rfam family: 5.8S ribosomal RNA (bases 180-333)
Source: RNAcentral
UCGUAACAAGGUCUCCGUUGGUGAACCAGCGGAGGGAUCAUUACCGAGUUUACAACUCCCAAACCCCUGUGAACAUACCUAUCGUUGCCUCGGCGGUGCCCGCUCCGGCGGCCCGCCAGAGGACCCCCAAACUCUUGUUUUAUACAGUAUCUUCUGAGUAACACGAUUAAAUAAAUCAAAACUUUCAACAACGGAUCUCUUGGUUCUGGCAUCGAUGAAGAACGCAGCGAAAUGCGAUAAGUAAUGUGAAUUGCAGAAUUCAGUGAAUCAUCGAAUCUUUGAACGCACAUUGCGCCCGCCAGUAUUCUGGCGGGCAUGCCUGUUCGAGCGUCAUUUCAACCCUCAAGCCCCCGGGCUUGGUGUUGGGGAUCGGCGUGCCCUCGCGGCGCGCCGUCCCCUAAAUCUAGUGGCGGUCUCGCUGUAGCUUCCUCUGCGUAGUAGCAACACUCGCACUGGAUCGCAGCGCGGCCACGCCGUUAAACCCCCCACUUCUGAAAGGUUGACCUCGGAUCAGGUAGGAAUACCCGCUGAACUUAAGCAUAUCAAUAA